Molecule: ribosomal RNA, 458 nt
Filed under: uncultured bacterium
Lineage: Bacteria
Description: partial 16S ribosomal RNA
Rfam family: Bacterial small subunit ribosomal RNA
Source: RNAcentral
AACGAACGCUGGCGGCAGGCCUAACACAUGCAAGUCGAGCGAGGACUUCGGGUCUAUUGGCGGUUGGCUGAGUAACGCCUGGGAAUGUGCCCUUGUCUACGGAACAGCCCUGUGAAAGUGGGAGUAAUACCGUAUAGGCCCUAUUUGGGUAAGAUCUACCGGAGAAGGAUGAGCGCGGGUUGGAUUAGGUAGUUGGUGGGGUAAUGGCCUACCAAGGCGGCGAUUCGGAGCGGGUCCGAGAGGAUGAUCAGCCACACUGGAACUGAGGAACGGCCCAGACUCCGGCGGUAGGCCGCAGCGGGGAAUCUUAGGCAAGGGGGGGGAGGCUGAUGCAGGCAUGGGGGGUGUAUGAAGACGGCCCUCGGGGGGGAAAGUAAUGACAGCGGGGGGGAAGAGAGUACAGUUAAGACGGUAGGUCAUUGACGGUACCGGCAGAAGAAGCCCCGGCUAACUCCGUG